Molecule: ribosomal RNA, 407 nt
Filed under: uncultured beta proteobacterium
Lineage: Bacteria; Pseudomonadati; Pseudomonadota; Betaproteobacteria
Description: bacterial SSU rRNA
Rfam family: Bacterial small subunit ribosomal RNA
Source: RNAcentral
GAGUUUGAUCUUGGCUCAGAUUGAACGCUGGCGGCAUGCUUUACACAUGCAAGUCGAACGGUAACGCGGGGGCAACCCUGGCGACGAGUGGCGAACGGGUGAGUAAUACAUCGGAACGUGUCCUGGAGUGGGGGAUAGCUCGGCGAAAGCCGGAUUAAUACCGCAUACGCUCUGAGGAGGAAAGCGGGGGACCUUCGGGCCUCGCGCUGCGGGAGCGGCCGAUGUCGGAUUAGCUAGUUGGUGGGGUAAAGGCCUACCAAGGCGACGAUCCGUAGCUGGUCUGAGAGGAUGAUCAGCCACACUGGGACUGAGACACGGCCCAGACUCCUACGGGAGGCAGCAGUGGGGAAUUUUGGACAAUGGGGGCAACCCUGAUCCAGCCAUGCCGCGUGAGUGAAGAAGGCCUU